RNAcentral lists this ribosomal RNA (253 nucleotides) under uncultured bacterium. Its description in RNAcentral is "partial 16S ribosomal RNA". It matches the Rfam family "Bacterial small subunit ribosomal RNA", at positions 524 to 776 of the family's 1533-position model. The record is from RNAcentral.
UACAGAGGUCUCAAGCGUUGUUCGGAUUCAUUGGGCGUAAAGGGUGUGUAGGUGGCGCCGUAAGUCGGGUGUGAAAUUUCGGAGCUUAACUCCGAAACUGCAUUCGAUACUGCGGUGCUUGAGGACUGGAGAGGAGACUGGAAUUCAUGGUGUAGCAGUGAAAUGCGUAGAUAUCAAGUGGAACACCAGUGGCGAAGGCGAGUCCCUGGACAACUCCUGACACUGAGGCACGAAGGCCAGGGGAGCAAACGGG